GACGAACGCUGGCGGCGUGCUUAACACAUGCGAGUCGAACGGAAAGGCCCUGCUUUUGUGGGGUGCUCGAGUGGCGAACAGGUGAGUAACACGUGAGUAACCUGCCCUUGACUUUGGGAUAACUUCAGGAAACUGGGGCUAAUACCGGAUAGGAGCUCCUGCUGCAUGGUGGGGGUUGGAAAGUUUCGGCGGUUGGGGAUGGACUCGCGGCUUAUCAGCUUGUUGGUGGGGUAGUGGCUUACCAAGGCUUUGACGGGUAGCCGGCCUGAGAGGGUGACCGGCCACAUUGGGACUGAGAUACGGCCCAGACUCCUACGGGAGGCAGCAGUGGGGAAUAUUGCACAAUGGGCGGAAGCCUGAUGCAGCAACGCCGCGUGCGGGAUGACGGCCUUCGGGUUGUAAACCGCUUUCGCCUGUGACGAAGCGUGAGUGACGGUAAUGGGUAAAGAAGCACCGGCUAACUACGUG
Molecule: ribosomal RNA, 468 nt
Filed under: uncultured bacterium
Lineage: Bacteria
Description: partial 16S ribosomal RNA
Rfam family: Bacterial small subunit ribosomal RNA
Source: RNAcentral